RNAcentral lists this ribosomal RNA (450 nucleotides) under uncultured bacterium. RNAcentral describes it as "partial 16S ribosomal RNA". It matches the Rfam family "Bacterial small subunit ribosomal RNA", at positions 354 to 796 of the family's 1533-position model. The record is from RNAcentral.
GUGGGGAAUUUUGGACAAUGGGCGAAAGCCUGAUCCAGCCAUGCCGCGUGUGUGAAGAAGGUCUUCGGAUUGUAAAGCACUUUAAGUUGGGAGGAAGGGCAGUAAGUUAAUACCUUGCUGUUUUGACGUUACCGACAGAAUAAGCACCGGCUAACUUCGUGCCAGCAGCCGCGGUAAUACGAAGGGUGCAAGCGUUAAUCGGAAUUACUGGGCGUAAAGCGCGCGUAGGUGGUUUUGUAAGUUGGAGGUGAAAUCCCCGGGCUCAACCUGGGAACUGAAUCCAAAACUGGCGAGCUAGAGUACGGUAGAGGGUGGUGGAAUUUCCUGUGUAGCGGUGAAAUGCGUAGAUAUAGGAAGGAACACCAGUGGCGAAGGCGACCACCUGGACUGAUACUGACACUGAGGUGCGAAAGCGUGGGGAGCAAACAGGAUUAGAUACCCGGGUAGUCC